Molecule: ribosomal RNA, 253 nt
Filed under: uncultured bacterium
Lineage: Bacteria
Description: partial 16S ribosomal RNA
Rfam family: Bacterial small subunit ribosomal RNA
Source: RNAcentral
UACAGGGGGUGCAAACGUUGUUCGGAUUUACUGGGCGUAAAGCGCACGUAGGCGGUCUGCUAUGUCGGAUGGGAAAGCCCUUGGCUUAACUGAGGAAGUGCAUCCGAAACUGGCAGGCUAGAGUACUAAAGAGGGUCGCGGAAUUCCCGGUGUAGAGGUUAAAUUCGUAGAUAUCGGGAGGAACACCGGUGGCGAAGGCGGCGACCUGGGUAGAUACUGACGCUGAGGUGCGAAAGCGUGGGGAGCAAACAGG